GGCUCCGUAGCUCAGUUGGUUUUGUAGAGCGGCUGGCUUUUAACCAGUGUGUCACAGGUUCGAUCCCUGUCGGAGCUA
Molecule: transfer RNA, 78 nt
Filed under: seawater metagenome
Description: tRNA-Lys
Rfam family: tRNA
About the family: Transfer RNA (tRNA) molecules are approximately 80 nucleotides in length.
Source: RNAcentral